CCUAAUACAUGACAAGUCGAACGCACUCUCGUUUAGAUUGAAGGAGCUUGCUCCUGAUUGAUAACAUUGAGUGAGUGGCGGACGGGUGAGUAACACGUGGUAACCUGCCUAAGUGGGGGAUAACAUUUGGAAACAGAUGCUAAUACCGCAUAAAACCUAACACCGCAUGGUGUAGGGUUGAAAGAUGGUUUCGGCUAUCACUUUAGGAUGGACCCGCGGUGCAUUAGUUAGUUGGUGAGGUAAAGGCUCACCAAGACCGUGAUGCAUAGCCGACCUGAGAGGUAAUCGGCCACACUGGGACUGAGACACGGCCCAGACUCCUACGGGAGGCAGCAGUAGGGAAUCUUCCACAAUGGACGAAAGUCUGAUGGAGCAACGCCGCGUGAGUGAAGAAGGUUUUCGGAUCGUAAAACUCUGUUGUUGGAGAAGAAUGUAUCUGAUAGUAACUGAUCAGGUAGUGACGGUAUCCAACCAGAAAGCCACGGCUAACUACGUG
Molecule: ribosomal RNA, 496 nt
Filed under: uncultured bacterium
Lineage: Bacteria
Description: bacterial SSU rRNA
Rfam family: Bacterial small subunit ribosomal RNA
Source: RNAcentral